UACGUAGGGCGCAAGCGUUAGUCCGGAAUUAUUGGGCGUAAAGAGCUCGUAGGCGGUUUGUCGCGUCUGCCGUGAAAGUCCGGGGCUCGAACUCCGGUCCUGCGGUGGGUACGGGCAGACUAGAGUGAUGUAGGGGAGACUGGAAUUCCUGGUGUAGCGGUGAAAUGCGCAGAUAUCAGGAGGAACACCGAUGGCGAAGGCAGGUCUCUGGGCAUUAACUGACGCUGGAGGAGCGAAAGCAUGGGGAGCGAACAGG
Molecule: ribosomal RNA, 256 nt
Filed under: uncultured bacterium
Lineage: Bacteria
Description: partial 16S ribosomal RNA
Rfam family: Bacterial small subunit ribosomal RNA
Source: RNAcentral